Molecule: long non-coding RNA, 336 nt
Filed under: Salmo salar (Atlantic salmon)
Lineage: Eukaryota; Metazoa; Chordata; Actinopteri; Salmoniformes; Salmonidae
Description: lncRNA (ENSSSAG00000103638.1, ENSSSAG00075014931.1)
Source: RNAcentral
UCAUAAAGUAUACAGGAACUUGUACGAAACUGAGAUUGGGUAAAACUUUCAAACUAAUUGCGGAUUACUUCUAGCCACAAACCACUCAUUGAUCAGGACAUCGAUUCACUUUUAAUGAGGCCAGAAGAGGAGGAGGAAGGAAGAGGAGGGAGUGGACGUCUGAACCAACAGGAGCCAAAUAAAGACCUGAGCCCUAGGACCAUGCCUCAGGACUACCUGACAUGAUGACUCCUUGCUGUCCCCAGUCCACCUGGCCGUGCUGCUGUUCCAGUUUCAACUGUUCUGCCUGUGGCUAUGGAACCUUGACCUGUUCACCGGAGGUGCUACCUGUCCCAG